Pelobates cultripes (western spadefoot toad) is the source of this 282-nucleotide non-coding RNA. NCBI's taxonomy places the organism in Eukaryota, Metazoa, Chordata, Amphibia, Anura, Pelobatidae. The record is from the annotation of a GenBank genome assembly.
UACAUCAACAAGUGGUAACAUUGCAUUAUAAGUUCUGUGCACAAUUUUGAAUUAUAAUUAAAAGUGAAAGUGACAUGAAAAUAAUGACAGACAAGGUAUGUGACAGUCGAGUGUUAUUUCAAGCUGGUGUGUCUAAGUUGUAGGCAUUUUAACUGCUUGGGUAAAUGGAUGUUCUCUUAUGAACACGUUGACAUAGUUAGUAACAUGCUUUCAACAUUGCAUGAGAAGUUAAGAAAAAAAAAAGUGGUGUGCAAGCUUAAGUGAAUCGGUUUCAUAACAAAU